CCUGAAGUUGGUGAAAUCCACUGCGGGUUUUCCAGGAGUGUAGAGGCGGAGAAGUCUAUCCGAGCUUCCAGUUCUGCUUCUGAAGCUGGAAGGGGCUUUUCGGUUGUAACCCUUGGAUGCUGUGUACCCAGCCAAAAGACUACAUUUCUCAAUCUCCAUUGUAGCUGGAUGUGGCUGUGUGAUCAAGUUAUGACCAAUGAGAUAUAAGUAGAAGUAGCUUGGCCAGACACAGUGGCUCACACCUGUAAUCCCAGCCCUUUGGGAGGCCAAAGCAGGAGGAUCACUUGCACUCAGGAGUUGGAAACUGCAGACCAGCCUGGAGAACACAGUGACACCUUGUCUCUACACAAAAUGAAAAAGUUAGCAGGGUAUGGUGGCAUGUGCCUGUGGUCCCAGCUACUUCCAGCUACUUGGGAGGCUAAAAUGGAAGGAUCGCUUGAGCCUGGGAGAUUGAGGCCUCAGUGAGCCAUGAUCAUGCCACUGUACUCCAGCCUGGGUGACAAGAGCAAGACCCUGUCUCUCAAAAAAAAAAAAACGCGGCUGGGUGGAACAUCUGGAAAACAUCUUUAAAGAACGCUGACUCAAUCAGGAGGAGCACCAUUUUGUUUCUUGCCCUCUGCCCUUCCUGCCUGAAACAGGCAUUGCCAUUCUCUUCAAAACAUAUUUGAAAAAUGUCCAGGCUUCUCAUCUCUGUGUAAAACUGUUCAGUUUGUUCCAGUGUGACGAGAAGAAAUUGGACUGAGCAUACUUUUUUGUGAGACAUCCAUUUUCUUCC
Molecule: long non-coding RNA, 775 nt
Filed under: Homo sapiens (human)
Lineage: Eukaryota; Metazoa; Chordata; Mammalia; Primates; Hominidae
Description: HSALNT0038268
Source: RNAcentral